GCGCAAAACUGCCUGAAAGCAACUACAGAAUUUCAUUCAUUUGUGCUUUUGCAUUAAACUGUGAAUGUUCCAACACCUGCCUCCACGUCUCCCCUCAAGAAAUUUUCAGCACCAGGAAUCAUGAAGAGACUUCUGCUUUUCAUCCCCCACCCUCUUCAAGAAGUAAUAAUUUGUUUACUUGUAAAUUGAUGGGGGAAAUGAGGAAAAGAAAAUCUUUUUUAAAAUGAUUUCAAGGUUUGUGCUGAGCUCCUUGAUUGCCUUAGGGACAGAAUUACCCCAGCCUCUUGAGCUGAAGUAAUGUGUGGGCCGCAUGCAUAAAGUAAGUAAGGUGCAAUGAAGAAGUGUUGAUUGCCAAAUUGACGUGUUUUCACAUUUUCAUUGUGAAUUAUGUAAAAUUGCAAAGAGAUAUACCCUCUAAAAAAGAGUUUUAGUGUGGUGUUGAAGAAAUUAAGAAUGAAUUCGAAGUGCUUUCUAUGUACAUUCUCUUCUUCAAUACUGACAACUUGUCCUUGACCUUCUGUAUUAACUGUAGCUCUUCCGUAGGGCAGUUGUUGCUUCUUAUUUCAGUUCUGUAUGUGUUCAACAUUCUUGAAUACAUUAAAAGAAGUAACCAACUGAAUGAAAAAGCAUGGUAUUUGAAUUUUAAAUUAAACUGAAGUAAAUAAAAGUACAAAGCUUGUUUUAGUUAGUACUAAAUUCUUAGUAAAAAGAUGCUCAUUAGUAAACCAGCCCCUUGAGUUACGUAACAAGGUUUUUAAAUAAAUGUUUUUGUCAUCGCCUUCAAAAAUACUUAUGUCACUCAUUUACUUAAAAAGAUAUUUCUAAUUAAACUGUUCCCAUUUGCACUUACACUAUACCACCAACAGGAAAGCCUUCAAGAUGUUAAAUAAAACAAAGUGAUAUCUUUGUUUAUAAAAUGUUGUGUUGUAGAAAAAUACUGAUUUUAAAUCUUUUCCAUAUUAACAUACUUUAACAGAGUAUCCUUAGUGAAUUUUUUAAUGAAAGUGUAAGGAUAUAGUUAUAAAAAGUACAGUAUUAGAUGUACACGAGAGUUAUUUUCUUCAGACGUAUUUGAAUGACUGCUGUACUACAAUAUUUGGAUUGUCAUUCUUACAAAACUUUUUUUUUUUUUUUUUUGGUUUUCUCCUAAAAAGGAUAGUUGUGCUUGAGCUUUCCAAUAUGCUGUAUAGCCUUUGUUGUUCUGCAAAGGAGCUACCUGUUUUAACCCCUGACUAUACCAGUCUGUAUUUAUGUGUAUCAUACAUUGUUUCCAAUACUACUUCUAACUAUUAAUUAUUCAUUCACUAAGCUUGAUAAAUCUUUACAAAAGUUACCCUUUAAAAAAAUAGGACUAAGGUGGAUUUUAAAAAUUGGAAACUGACAUAAUGUUAGAUAUAAUUUCUCAUUUGAAAAGGUUAUUCCUUUUAAAAGAAGAGUGUAGAAAAUUAAUGUUUUAUAUUUAGUCAUGGGUUAUUUUUAAAAGUUUGUUAAUGUAUUAACAAAAUAUACAGAUGUGGGUGUUAAUUGUUGGGUCCCUUUUGAAAAGUAAGGUUUUUAAUUAAUAUUUGUAAAUGGUUUAUUUUUGUUUGUAACAAACCAUUGUCUCUUUUCAAGGAUGAACAGAGUUUAUGAAGGAGCAUCAUUCUAAGAAUUGAGUGAUGUAGUCUUAUAUUUGGACAAUUCACCAGAUUCUCAAGAAGGCUUUCAAACGACUGU
RNAcentral lists this long non-coding RNA (1716 nucleotides) under Lynx pardinus (Iberian lynx). Lineage: Eukaryota; Metazoa; Chordata; Mammalia; Carnivora; Felidae. The record is from RNAcentral.